This 3309-nucleotide ribosomal RNA is filed under the name Salmonella enterica subsp. enterica serovar Derby. Its description in RNAcentral is "bacterial LSU rRNA". It matches the Rfam family "Bacterial large subunit ribosomal RNA". Lineage: Bacteria; Pseudomonadati; Pseudomonadota; Gammaproteobacteria; Enterobacterales; Enterobacteriaceae. The record is from RNAcentral.
ACUAAGCGUACACGGUGGAUGCCCUGGCAGUCAGAGGCGAUGAAGGACGUGCUAAUCUGCGAUAAGCGCCGGUAAGGUGAUAUGAACCGUUAUAACCGGCGAUUUCCGAAUGGGGAAACCCAGUGUGAUUCGUCACACUAUCAUUAACUGAAUCCAUAGGUUAAUGAGGCGAACCGGGGGAACUGAAACAUCUAAGUACCCCGAGGAAAAGAAAUCAACCGAGAUUCCCCCAGUAGCGGCGAGCGAACGGGGAGGAGCCCAGAGCCUGAAUCAGCAUGUGUGUUAGUGGAAGCGUCUGGAAAGGCGCGCGAUACAGGGUGACAGCCCCGUACACAAAAGCGCAUGUGUUGUGAGCUCGAUGAGUAGGGCGGGACACGUGGUAUCCUGUCUGAAUAUGGGGGGACCAUCCUCCAAGGCUAAAUACUCCUGACUGACCGAUAGUGAACCAGUACCGUGAGGGAAAGGCGAAAAGAACCCCGGCGAGGGGAGUGAAAAAGAACCUGAAACCGUGUACGUACAAGCAGUGGGAGCUGAGGGAAAGGCGAAAAGAACCCCGGCGAGGGGAGUGAAAAAGAACCUGAAACCGUGUACGUACAAGCAGUGGGAGCCCCACCACUAAGCCAGUGGUGAACUCCACAUACGCAUCCUUUGCUGAGGAUACGGUUAACGGAGCGCAAGCGACGUUCAACCGCAAAAGAAGCAGAGGGGGCUUAGUGGUGGGGUGACUGCGUACCUUUUGUAUAAUGGGUCAGCGACUUAUAUUCUGUAGCAAGGUUAACCGUAUAGGGGAGCCGGAGGGAAACCGAGUCUUAAUUGGGCGUUAAGUUGCAGGGUAUAGACCCGAAACCCGGUGAUCUAGCCAUGGGCAGGUUNAGGGAAACCGAGUCUUAAUUGGGCGUUAAGUUGCAGGGUAUAGACCCGAAACCCGGUGAUCUAGCCAUGGGCAGGUUGAAGGUUGGGUAACACUAACUGGAGGACCGAACCGACUAAUGUUGAAAAAUUAGCGGAUGACCUGUGGCUGGGGGUGAAAGGCCAAUCAAACCGGGAGAUAGCUGGUUCUCCCCGAAAGCUAUUUAGGUAGCGCCUCGUGAAUUCAUCUCCGGGGGUAGAGCACUGUUUCGGCUAGGGGGCCAUCCCGGCUUACCAACCCGAUGCAAACUGCGAAUACCGGAGAAUGUUAUCACGGGAGACACACGGCGGGUGCUAACGUCCGUCGUGAAGAGGGAAACAACCCAGACCGCCAGCUAAGGUCCCAAAGUCAUGGUUAAGUGGGAAACGAUGUGGGAAGGCCCAGACAGCCAGGAUGUUGGCUUAGAAGCAGCCAUCAUUUAAAGAAAGCGUAAUAGCUCACUGGUCGAGUCGGCCUGCGCGGAAGAUGUAACGGGGCUAAACCAUGCACCGAAGCUGCGGCAGCGAACGUAUCACUUAAAGCGAUUCAGCGGGUUACGAUUGACGGAGCGAAGCGACGUCAAAGCGUAUACAAAGUCGAGUCGGUUUAAGGAUACGUUCGUUGGGUAGGGGAGCGUUCUGUAAGCCUGUGAAGGUGGCCUGUGAGGGUUGCUGGAGGUAUCAGAAGUGCGAAUGCUGUUGGGUAGGGGAGCGUUCUGUAAGCCUGUGAAGGUGGCCUGUGAGGGUUGCUGGAGGUAUCAGAAGUGCGAAUGCUGACAUAAGUAACGAUAAAGCGGGUGAAAAGCCCGCUCGCCGGAAGACCAAGGGUUCCUGUCCAACGUUAAUCGGGGCAGGGUGAGUCGACCCCUAAGGCGAGGCCGAAAGGCGUAGUCGAUGGGAAACGGGUUAAUAUUCCCGUACUUGGUGUUACUGCGAAGGGGGGACGGAGAAGGCUAUGUUGGCCGGGCGACGGUUGUCCCGGUUUAAGCGUGUAGGUGUGUGUUCCAGGUAAAUCCGGUUCACUUUAACACUGAGGCGUGAUGACGAGGCACUACGGUGCUGAAGCAACAAAUGCCCUGCUUCCAGGAAAAGCCUCUAAGCAUCAGGUAACAUCAAAUCGUACCCCAAACCGACACAGGUGGUCAGGUAGAGAAUACCAAGGCGCUUGAGAGAACUCGGGUGAAGGAACUAGGCAAAAUGGUGCCGUAACUUCGGGAGAAGGCACGCUGACAUGUAGGUGAAGUGAUUUACUCAUGGAGCUGAAGUCAGUCGAAGAUACCAGCUGGCUGCAACUGUUUAUUAAAAACACAGCACUGUGCAAACACGAAAGUGGACGUAUACGGUGUGACGCCUGCCCGGUGCCGGAAGGUUAAUUGAUGGGGUCAGCGCAAGCGAAGCUCCUGAUCGAAGCCCCGGUAAACGGCGGCCGUAACUAUAACGGUCCUAAGGUAGCGAAAUUCCUUGUCGGGUAAGUUCCGACCUGCACGAAUGGCGUAAUGAUGGCCAGGCUGUCUCCACCCGAGACUCAGUGAAAUUGAACUCGCUGUGAAGAUGCAGUGUACCCGCGGCAAGACGGAAAGACCCCGUGAACCUUUACUAUAGCUUGACACUGAACAUUGAGCCUUGAUGUGUAGGAUAGGUGGGAGGCUUUGAAGUGUGGACGCCAGUCUGCAUGGAGCCGGCCUUGAAAUACCACCCUUUAAUGUUUGAUGUUCUAACGUGGACCCGUAAUCCGGGUUGCGGACAGUGUCUGGUGGGUAGUUUGACUGGGGCGGUCUCCUCCUAAAGAGUAACGGAGGAGCACGAAGGUUGGCUAAUCCUGGUCGGACAUCAGGAGGUUAGUGCAAUGGCAUAAGCCAGCUUGACUGCGAGCGUGACGGCGCGAGCAGGUGCGAAAGCAGGUCAUAGUGAUCCGGUGGUUCUGAAUGGAAGGGCCAUCGCUCAACGGAUAAAAGGUACUCCGGGGAUAACAGGCUGAUACCGCCCAAGAGUUCAUAUCGACGGCGGUGUUUGGCACCUCGAUGUCGGCUCAUCACAUCCUGGGGCUGAAGUAGGUCCCAAGGGUAUGGCUGUUCGCCAUUUAAAGUGGUACGCGAGCUGGGUUUAGAACGUCGUGAGACAGUUCGGUCCCUAUCUGCCGUGGGCGCUGGAGAACUGAGGGGGGCUGCUCCUAGUACGAGAGGACCGGAGUGGACGCAUCACUGGUGUUCGGGUUGUCAUGCCAAUGGCACUGCCCGGUAGCUAAAUGCGGAAGAGAUAAGUGCUGAAAGCAUCUAAGCACGAAACUUGCCCCGAGAUGAGUUCUCCCUGAGACUUAAAGUCUCCUGAAGGAACGUUGAAGACGACGACGUUGAUAGGCCGGGUGUGUAAGCGCAGCGAUGCGUUGAGCUAACCGGUACUAAUGAACCGUGAGGCUUAACC